This 161-nucleotide non-coding RNA is filed under the name Acetomicrobium mobile. Its description in RNAcentral is "GlcN6P sequence". It matches the Rfam family "glmS glucosamine-6-phosphate activated ribozyme aptamer". Rfam says of the family: This entry contains a glucosamine-6-phosphate activated ribozyme that is found in the mRNA for GlmS. RNAcentral also lists the same sequence under 1 other name. Lineage: Bacteria; Thermotogati; Synergistota; Synergistia; Synergistales; Acetomicrobiaceae. The record is from RNAcentral.
GUCUGUGGUUAAGCGCCUGGACUGGUCGCAAGCCAGUUGACGAGGUCGGGGGAGGAUCGAAGCUAUCGGCGGAUGCCCCCGGGCCCCGGAAGAUGGGCCAAUCAGUCGUCCCACAAAGCCGCGGAGCGAUCUGCGGGACAAAGGGGGCGACGAUCUUCUGU